GGAGUUAGCCGGUGCUUCUUCUGUGAGUGAUGUCCUUCCUGCCGGCUAUUAACCCGCAGGCCUUCUUCCUCACUGAAAGUGCUUUACAACCCGAAGGCCUUCUUCACACACGCGGCAUGGCUGGAUCAGGGUUGCCCCCAUUGUCCAAUAUUCCCCACUGCUGCCUCCCGUAGGAGUCUGGGCCGUGUCUCAGUCCCAGUGUGGCUGAUCAUCCUCUCAGACCAGCUACGGAUCGUCGCCUUGGUGAGCCGUUACCUCACCAACCAGCUAAUCCGACAUAGGCUCAUCCGAUAGCGCGAGGCCCGAAGGUCCCCCGCUUUCCCCCGUAGGGCGUAUGCGGUAUUAGCCUGGGUUUCCCCAGGUUAUCCCCCACUACCGGGCAGAUUCCUAUGCAUUACUCACCCGUCCGCCGCUCGCCACCAGGGAGCAAGCUCCCCGUGCUGCCGCUCGACUUGCAUGUGUUAGGCCUGCCGCCAGCGUUCAAUCUGAGCCAUAUCACUACUGA
Molecule: ribosomal RNA, 505 nt
Filed under: uncultured bacterium
Lineage: Bacteria
Description: partial 16S ribosomal RNA
Source: RNAcentral